Hydra vulgaris (swiftwater hydra) is the source of this 333-nucleotide non-coding RNA. Lineage: Eukaryota; Metazoa; Cnidaria; Hydrozoa; Anthoathecata; Hydridae. The record is from RefSeq and is a predicted model, not a curated record.
ACAACAGAUUUAUCUUUUAAAAUGUUUGCAAAUUUUUGGUUCGGAUACAAAAAACCAAGUGAAAAUGGUACUGGAAAGACUGUUUACCGUUUGACUCCUGUCCCAAUCUAACCUAGUGGGUUCAAAAAAAAGGGACCUCGCUGGAAACAGAGUGGAUUAAAAGGAUUUUAAUCAACUCAUGUUUCAGCCCUUUUUGAAUUAAUAGUCGAAGUGGUAACCAGCUGGAAGUCGUAACCUGCUCGUAUGAAAGGAUUUCUUGACGUGAAAUUGUUAAUUUUAUUCAACAACGCCAAGAAACAGAGCUCUCUCAAGAAACAGAAAAGAAAGAGAAAG